GUCUUUUCGAGGUGGGAGCCGACUGUUGUGAGGUAUGGUGCUGGGUGUAGAUGCAAUGUGGCUCUCGAUAGCACCUUAUGGACAGUUGUGUCCCAAAGGAGGGAUGACAAUAGCUACUGAAGUAAGUUGAAAAUUCCUUCAAAAAGAUUUAAAGUCACUGGAUGUGCCACAAUGAUGACAGUUUAUUUGCUACUCUUGACUGCUAGAAUGAUGAGGAGCUUAACCACCAUUAUCUUAACUGAGGCACCCAAAAUGGUGGUUUGGGGAACAUAGAGAGUACACCUAAGUUCACAUGAAGUUUCUUCCCAGGUCCUAAAGAGCAAGCCUAACUCAAGCCAUUGGCAUACAGGCAUUAGACAGAAAAUUAGAAGUUGAAAUGGUGGAGUGCAACUUGUCUGGACCAGCUUUAUUUUUCUGGUGCCGAUGUUUGGAGACCUUUUAAAGGUAUGGAGAGUCGACUUGACUACACCGUGUGGAGCAAGUUUUAAAGAAGCAAAGGACUCAGAAUUCAUGCUUGAAGAAAUGCAGGUUAGUUUAAACUUUUAAGGAAAUUUUUAAGGUGGCAAAAGGUUUUAGUGGCAUAUACACCUUAAUCUGUAGAUGGGAGUGAUUAGCUGUUUGAAAGUUGAAAUGUGACUGAAAAGGAAAUUGAGUAGGGAAAUUUUAAAUGGGAUUAUUUUUCAUCUUCAAACAGGCAGACCUGUUAUCCUAAACUAGGUGAGUCAGCUUUUGGUACAUGUGAUAAUUUUCAAUGUAACCAAUGAUGUAAUGAUUCUGCCAAAUGAAAUAUAAUGAUAUCACUAUAAAACCGUUCCAUUUUGAUUCUGAGGUUACUCUACUAACAAGCAUCACACGUUUGUUUUUUGCCGUGAUUAAUAUGUUGUCUUUGCUUUCAGGGUUUUUAAUGACUACAGCAAGCAAGCAUGUAGCUUUACCGCUUGAAAGGUGAGGAUUGGAAAUAUUGGGACUAUUAUAAUUGCAGAAUACAUGAUGAUCUCAGUCCAGCUUGAACUCUCUCACUGAUUACCUGAUGACAAUAAAAGAUCUGAUAUUCUGCAUUCCCAUGUAGCAUUUUAAUUGAAGUCUGGAAAUGUGGCUAAAAGUCUGUCUUAUUUUUUGAGACAGGGUCUUGCCUCAUCCAAGCUGGAGUGCAGUGGCCCUUUGAGGCUUACUACAGCCUCAGACUUCUGGGCUCAAGUGAUCCUCAGCCUCCCAAUGGUCUUUGUAGACAGCCUGAUGGAGUCUCAUGGCACAAGAAGAUUAAAACAGUGUCUCCAAUUUUAAUAAAUUUUUGCAAUCC
This 1300-nucleotide long non-coding RNA is filed under the name Macaca mulatta (Rhesus monkey). RNAcentral's name for it is "lncRNA (ENSMMUG00000060229.1)". The stretch from base 756 to 832 matches the Rfam family "Small nucleolar RNA SNORD47". The record is from RNAcentral. Lineage: Eukaryota; Metazoa; Chordata; Mammalia; Primates; Cercopithecidae.